This 426-nucleotide ribosomal RNA is filed under the name uncultured bacterium. RNAcentral describes it as "bacterial SSU rRNA". It matches the Rfam family "Bacterial small subunit ribosomal RNA", at positions 356 to 773 of the family's 1533-position model. The record is from RNAcentral.
AGGGAAUCUUCCGCAAUGGACGAAAGUCUGACGGAGCAACGCCGCGUGAGUGAAGAAGGCCUUCGGGUCGUAAAACUCUGUUGCCGGGGAAGAACAAGUGCCGUUCGAACAGGGCGGUGCCUUGACGGUACCCGGCCAGAAAGCCACGGCUAACUACGUGCCAGCAGCCGCGGUAAUACGUAGGUGGCACGCGUUGUCCGGAAUUAUUGGGCGUAAAGCGCGCGCAGGCGGUUUCUUAAGUCUGAUGUGAAAGCUUGCGGCUCAACCGCAAGCGGUCAUUGGAAACUGGGAGGCUUGAGUGCAGAAGAGGAGAGUGGAAUUCCACGUGUAGCGGUGAAAUGCGUAGAGAUGUGGAGGAACACCAGUGGCGAAGGCGGCUCUCUGGUCUGUAACUGACGCUGAGGCGCGAAAGCGUGGGGAGUAAAC